RNAcentral lists this ribosomal RNA (434 nucleotides) under uncultured bacterium. Its description in RNAcentral is "bacterial SSU rRNA". It matches the Rfam family "Bacterial small subunit ribosomal RNA", at positions 355 to 804 of the family's 1533-position model. The record is from RNAcentral.
UCGGGAAUUUUGGGCAAUGGGGGAAACCCUGACCCAGCAACGCCGCGUGAAGGAUGAAGUAUUUCGGUAUGUAAACUUCGAAAGAAUAGGAAGAAUAAAUGACGGUACUAUUUAUAAGGUCCGGCUAACUACGUGCCAGCAGCCGCGGUAAUACGUAGGGACCAAGCGUUGUUCGGAUUUACUGGGCGUAAAGGGCGCGUAGGCGGCAUGACAAGUCACUUGUGAAAUCUCUGGGCUUAACCCAGAACGGCCAAGUGAUACUGUCGCGCUAGAGUGCAGAAGGGGCAAUCGGAAUUCUUGGUGUAGCGGUGAAAUGCGUAGAUAUCAAGAGGAACACCUGAGGUGAAGACGGGUUGCUGGGCUGACACUGACGCUGAGGCGCGAAAGCCAGGGGAGCAAACGGGAUUAGAUACCCCAGUAGUCCCUGAGCGGGC